This is a long non-coding RNA of Grus americana (Whooping crane), 1256 nucleotides long. RefSeq lists it as uncharacterized. The transcript has 3 exons. The record is from RefSeq and is a predicted model, not a curated record. NCBI's taxonomy places the organism in Eukaryota, Metazoa, Chordata, Aves, Gruiformes, Gruidae.
GCUGCAGAGAGGAGCUGAAAUUAAGUCAGCAGAGUUCACGAUUUGUCUUGGACCAGAGCCUAAUUCAGUUUAUAAUGCAAUGUCAGCGCUGGAGUCCCAGCAUCAGAAUUUAUGCAGAAAAAUACAUCUGAAUAGCUUGCUUGGAAUGUCUGGCCUUAAAUGGAAGGGGUAGUAACUGCUUGCAAACUGCAGUACCUUCCCCAGCACAUUGUAAAACAGUGCUCACAUGAGGAUCCUGGUACUUCUCUCAGGAAACUACUGCAGGUGAAGCUUAUUGUGUAUAAUGCUUACAGCAUGAAGGAGAGUGGAGAGGUCCUGAAGUUCAGAGACGUGGGUACGUAGGGAUGAGUUCCAUCUCUACUUGCCCUGGAGAGAGUCAAGGUACCAUGUAUCUCAAAAGCAGUCCAGCUCUACUUACUUUUAGAAACAUUUUGCUGUUUACUUUAUGGAAAAUUUGCUUACUUAAAAUCUAUUAGUUACAGUUAUUACUGCUGAAUUAACAGAAAACGUAUCUAUAUUGUAGGGUGAAUCAGUAGUGUCAGUAUAUCAAAUAACCUACUAAAUAGAUAUAUUUUAAGACAUUGAAGAGCAAGAAAUAAAAUUUUCUUGUGACCAAUUAAACCCUGAAACUGUGACAAAGAAUGAGGCUGUCACCUCUACUAAAGUCUGCUUUCUACUGCUUUGGAUCACAUGGGAGCUAUGCAUAUUUUUAACAAAUACCAUAUGCACCUCACUUUCCCUAAUUGUUACUGUCUUGCCUGACUGCAAGGGGAAACCCACAUGAAAGAAAAUAAUGACAGAGUCUGAGGAAAAUGUCCAAGGUCCUUGUGGGAACUAAUAGGAAAGCUCUGAAUAGGAAAUCACCUCUGCUAGGUACCAAAUUGGUGGGCAAGUUUACCCUUUCCAGGCCCAAGCAGGACACUAAAACUUUUCAGAUGCUGAUUCAAGGGAAAGGGAGGUUAAGUGGGCUGUCAGCAGCUGCACAGGGGGGAGAUGAUGACUGAGUCUGAGGGGCACGUAAGCGCGCUGAAACAAAACAAACUGUCUCACCUACCCCCACCUAGGCUAGAGAUGGAAGUAGCAGGAUAAAGCUGAAUUUACUGAGGCUCAGAUGGAAAGAUGAAAGCUGAGGUAAGGGUCUUUUGUUUGUUUAAGCCCUUCUCUCUGUGUUUGAGUGAAUAAUGCUUUGUUUUGGAGAAGCUGGCUUGGGGUCACUUCAAUUCAUCUGCUGUCAUAGGCUCUUGGAAGAAAAGGCA